AUAGCACACAUAGUUUGAUCUCGUUUUCAUAUCGCUAGUUCGUAUUUGGAUGGCUUGAGUGAAAUGAAUGAAACUAUAUUUUUUUUAAUUGCCAUGCAAAAAUUAUAAAUACUACCACUAAUUGUUUUAAAUAAUUUUGUUCCUACAAUAUAUUUUGUUGGAAUUAGUGUCGAUAGCAAGUAUCAAGAAACAGCUUUUUAAUUCAACGUUGAAGAAAUUCAUAACCUGUGGCACUUUUGACAGCCGCCAUGUUUUCUCCAUAAAAACAUUGAUUUUCUUUGCUCAUUUUCAUGUCAACGUAGUUUUUUUGGAAAAUAAGAAGAAAGGAAGUUUAACUUACUUAGAGAAAUACGACUGAGACAUAAACACAAGCAGCAGCCGAUGUGCUUGAGUAGCAGAAGGAGCAACUGCGUUGUGAGAGGGCCACGGCUUCAGCCCUCACAAUGAUAGCUGAUUAGCUGAAGUAAUGAACAGACAGGCUGCAGUCAAUGAGAGGCUUCUUGAGGAGGGGUUCCUCAUAUGGAAAAGAUUUUAGCGGCGACGCAGUUGCGCGACCAGUGAAGCUCUGGCUCCGCGACCGGCGUGGAGCGCGCGGUCCGCGCGGCGCUGCUGCGGCUGCUGCGCGGGAGGAUCCCGUCCCUGCGCAUGCGCCUGGCCUUCAAUGACCUCACGCCUCUCUUCUUCCUCUUCUUCAUGCGUCAAUUCAAACAGAGGAGCUGUGAUUACUGAUUACCUAAGUUCCUAUAUACAAUAAUAGUUUAAUAAUUGUUAACAAAAUAUUGUAUAUAUAAGUAUUAAUAAUUACUUAUACAAAAGGCUAAAAGCAUUUUGUACCAGCCAACCUAUAGGAGAGAAUAUGAGAAAAAUAAUAAUUCUUUAAUCUUUGAUUGCCAUUAUCUGUAGCUUUAUUAAGUGGUAAAGGGACCUAAUUACUACCUAUAUUUUUUUAGUAUUUGUGAUAAUUCAUAGAAUUUAUUAGUUCUAUCAAUAAAUAAAAUAUACAUGCAUUACAAUGUGUUUAAUUCAUUAACUUACAAUUUGCACACUGAGGGAAUGUGUAUGCUUUCGGUUAAAAUAUUCUUCCUCAUUCUGCGAGGGCCUCAGGCCAAAACCCACACCAAUCAAAUAAAUAUCACUAAUACAAGCUUACUAUAAAGGAAAAUUACGAAUUCGGUAAAGAUGGAAACGUAUCUCGUAGGGACGGCUGUCCGGCUGAAAAAUGGCUUGAAGAUCUUGGAGAGAUGCGUACAAGGUCAAUUUCACAGUUUUUUGCAGUAUUUUUCUGAAAACGAUCUAACAAUUUCACCCUUUUCUUCGAAAGUUUAAAAUCGCAUAAACGUCAAAAUAUGACGGAUAAGCGAUAUCAAAAAAUUCAACAAAAAUGACAUGAAUCGCGUCAUUCUCCAUUCGUUCAUUCAUUUUGCGAUCUCGAAACGAUCUUACUAUGUAGCUUGGGUUUUAGUGCCAUGUGAAUCGCAAUUUGACAACUCGUUCGUAAAAAUCUGAAAACGAGAUGAAAGCGACGGGGUUUUUUGUGACACGAAUCACCAUCCUGGGGCGCGAUUCACAUCUCAACCGAAAUAUUUGUAAAGCGAUACGAACGAGUUACGAGAUGAAAUCCGCAAUGUUUAAAAACGCGAUUCAUAGCACACAUACUUUGAUCUCGUUUUCAUAUCGCUAGUUCGUAUUUGGAUGGCUUGAGUGAAAUGAAUGAAACUAUAUUUUUUUUAAUUGCCAUGCAAAAAUUAUAAAUACUACCACUAAUUGUUUUAAAUAAUUUUGUUCCUACAAUAUAUUUUGUUGGAAUUAGUGUCGAUAGCAAGUAUCAAGAAACGGCUUUUUAAUUCAACGUUGAAGAAAUUCAUAACCUGUGGCACUUUUGACAGCCGCCAUGUUUUCUACAUAAAAACAAACAUAACAAACAUUGAUUUUCUUUGCUCAUUUUCGUGUCAACGUAGUUUUUUGGAAAAUAAGAAGAAAGGAUGUUUAACUAACUUAGAGAAAUACGACUGAGACAUAAUCAUGAACGAGAUGAACACAAGCAGCAGCCGAUGUGCUUGAGUUGCAGAAGGAGCAACUGCGUUGUGAGAGGGCCACGGCUUCAGCCCUCACAAUGAUAGCUGAAGCAAUGAACAGACAGGCUGCAGUCAAUGAGAGGCUUCUUGAGCAGGGGCUCCUCAUAUGGAAAAAGGCUAAUGAAAGGAACAAUCAAGACCAGACUUAAAGUAAAGAUUUUAGCGGCGACGCAGUUGCGCGACCAGUGAAGCUCUGGCUUCGCGACCGGCGUGGAGCGCGCGGUCCGCGCGGCGCUGCUGCGGCUGCUGCGCGGGAGGAUCCCGUCCCUGCGCAUUCGCCUGGCCUUCAAUGGCCUCACGCCUCUCUUCUUCCUCUUCUUCAUGCGUCAAUUCAAACAGAGGAGCACCUGUGAUUACUGAUUACCUAAGUUCCUAUAUACAAUAAUAGUUUAAUAAUUGUUAACAAAAUAUUGUAUACAUACAUAAGUAUUAAUAAUUAUACAAAAGGCUAAAAGCAUUUUGUACCAGCCAACCUAUAGGAGAGAAUAUGAGAAAAAUAAUAAGACUUUAAUCUUUGAUUGCCAUUAUCUGUAGCUUUAUUAAGUGGUAAAGGGACCUAAUUACUACCUAUAUUUUUUAGUAUUUGUGAUAAUUCAUAGAAUUUAUUAGUUCUAUCAAUAAAUAAAAUAUACAUGCA
Molecule: long non-coding RNA, 2712 nt
Organism: Plutella xylostella (diamondback moth)
Lineage: Eukaryota; Metazoa; Arthropoda; Insecta; Lepidoptera; Plutellidae
Source: RefSeq, a predicted model, not a curated record